GCAGGGGAUCGCAAGACCUUGCGCUGAUUGAGCGGCCGAUAUCAGAUUAGCUUGUUGGCGAGGUAAAAGCUCACCAAGGCGACGAUCUGUAGCGGGUCUGAGGGGAUGAUCCGCCACACUGGAACUGAGACACGGUCCAGACUCCUACGGGAGGCAGCAGUGGGGAAUUUUGGACAAUGGGGGCAACCCUGAUCCAGCCAUGCCGCGUGAGUGAAGAAGGCCUUCGGGUUGUAAAGCUCUUUCAGCCGGGAAGAAAACGCAUGGGUUAAUACCCUGUGUGGAUGACGGUACCGGAAUAAGAAGCACCGGCUAACUACGUGCCAGCAGCCGCGGUAAUACGCAGGGUGCGAGCGUUAAUCGGAAUUACUGGGCGUAAAGCGUGCGCAGGCGGUUUUGUAAGACAGGCGUGAAAUCCCCGGGCUUAACCUGGGAACUGCGUUUGUGACUGCAAGGCUAGAGUACGGCAGAGGGGGGUGGAAUUCCACGUGUAGCAGUGAAAUGCGUAGAGAUGUGGAGGAACACCAAUGGCGAAGGCAGCCCCCUGGGUCGAUACUGACGCUCAUGCACGAAAGCGUGGGUAGCAAACAGGAUUAGAUACCCUGGUAGUCCACGCCCUAAACGAUGUCAACUAGGUGUUGGGAGGGUAAAACCUUUUAGUACCGGAGCUAACGCGUGAAGUUGACCGCCUGGGGAGUACGGCCGCAAGGUUAAAACUCAAAGGAAUUGACGGGGACCCGCACAAGCGGUGGAUGAUGUGGAUUAAUUCGAUGCAACGCGAAAAACCUUACCUACCCUUGACAUGCCAAGAACUUUCCAGAGAUGGAUUGGUGCCCGAAAGGGAACUUGGACACAGGUGCUGCAUGGCUGUCGUCAGCUCGUGUCGUGAGAUGUUGGGUUAAGUCCCGCAACGAGCGCAACCCUUGUCGUUAAUUGCCAUCAUUUAGUUGGGCACUUUAACGAGACUGCCGGUGACAAACCGGAGGAAGGGGGGAUGACGUCAAGUCCUCAUGGCCCUUAUGGGUAGGGCUUCACACGUCAUACAAUGGUCGGUACAAAGGGUCGCCAAGCCGCGAGGUGGAGCCAAUCCCAGAAAGCCGAUCGUAGUCCGGAUCGCAGUCUGCAACUCGACUGCGUGAAGUCGGAAUCGCUAGUAAUCGUGGAUCAGAAUGUCACGGUGAAUACGUUCCCGGGUCUUGUACACACCGCCCGUCACACCAUGGGAGCGGGUUCCGCCAGAAGUAGGUAGCCUAACCGCAAGGAGGGCGCUUACCACGGCGGGGUUCGUGACUGGGGUGAAGUCGUAACAAGGUA
Molecule: ribosomal RNA, 1311 nt
Filed under: metagenome
Description: bacterial SSU rRNA
Rfam family: Bacterial small subunit ribosomal RNA
Source: RNAcentral